RNAcentral lists this ribosomal RNA (467 nucleotides) under Didymocorypha lanceolata. RNAcentral describes it as "partial 16S ribosomal RNA". It matches the Rfam family "Bacterial large subunit ribosomal RNA", at positions 1796 to 2534 of the family's 2925-position model. The record is from RNAcentral. Lineage: Eukaryota; Metazoa; Arthropoda; Insecta; Mantodea; Eremiaphilidae.
UCGCCUGUUUAUCAAAAACAUGGUUUCUUGUUUAUUUAAGAGAUUUGGCCUGCCCACUGAAAAAUUUUGAAGGGCCGCAGUAUUUUGACUGUGCAAAGGUAGCAUAAUCAUUAGUCUUUUAAUUAAGGGCUUGUAUGAAUGGUUGGACGAGGUAAAAGCUGUCUUUAAUUUAAUUAGUUUGAAUUUAGAUUUUAAGUAAAAAGACUUAAAUGUUAUUAAGGGACGAGAAGACCCUAUAGAGUUUAAUAUUUAUAAUUUUAAUUGAGUUAAAAAUUAAUUUUUCGUUAUUAUUAAUAUUUAUUUAAUUGGGGUGAUUAGAAGAUAAAAGAAACUCUUCUUUAAUUUUAAUAUUAUAAUUAGUUUAAUGAUCCAUUUAUAGUGAUUGAAAGAUUAAAUUACCUUAGGGAUAACAGCAUAAUUCUUUUUGAGAGUUCAAAUCGAGAAAAGAGAUUGUGACCUCGAUGUUG